This 738-nucleotide ribosomal RNA is filed under the name Pseudomonas sp. 110623_PC_C1_A9. RNAcentral describes it as "bacterial SSU rRNA". It matches the Rfam family "Bacterial small subunit ribosomal RNA", at positions 20 to 753 of the family's 1533-position model. The record is from RNAcentral. Lineage: Bacteria; Pseudomonadati; Pseudomonadota; Gammaproteobacteria; Pseudomonadales; Pseudomonadaceae.
UGGCUCAGAUUGAACGCUGGCGGCAGGCCUAACACAUGCAAGUCGAGCGGUAGAGAGAAGCUUGCUUCUCUUGAGAGCGGCGGACGGGUGAGUAAUGCCUAGGAAUCUGCCUGGUAGUGGGGGAUAACGUUCGGAAACGAACGCUAAUACCGCAUACGUCCUACGGGAGAAAGCAGGGGACCUUCGGGCCUUGCGCUAUCAGAUGAGCCUAGGUCGGAUUAGCUAGUUGGUGAGGUAAUGGCUCACCAAGGCGACGAUCCGUAACUGGUCUGAGAGGAUGAUCAGUCACACUGGAACUGAGACACGGUCCAGACUCCUACGGGAGGCAGCAGUGGGGAAUAUUGGACAAUGGGCGAAAGCCUGAUCCAGCCAUGCCGCGUGUGUGAAGAAGGUCUUCGGAUUGUAAAGCACUUUAAGUUGGGAGGAAGGGCAGUUACCUAAUACGUGAUUGUUUUGACGUUACCGACAGAAUAAGCACCGGCUAACUCUGUGCCAGCAGCCGCGGUAAUACAGAGGGUGCAAGCGUUAAUCGGAAUUACUGGGCGUAAAGCGCGCGUAGGUGGUUUGUUAAGUUGGAUGUGAAAUCCCCGGGCUCAACCUGGGAACUGCAUUCAAAACUGACUGACUAGAGUAUGGUAGAGGGUGGUGGAAUUUCCUGUGUAGCGGUGAAAUGCGUAGAUAUAGGAAGGAACACCAGUGGCGAAGGCGACCACCUGGACUAAUACUGACACUGAGGUC